RNAcentral lists this non-coding RNA (24 nucleotides) under Drosophila erecta. RNAcentral also lists the same sequence under 1 other name. Lineage: Eukaryota; Metazoa; Arthropoda; Insecta; Diptera; Drosophilidae. The record is from RNAcentral.
UCCGCUAGCUCAUUUCCCGGGAUG